GGUUCCGUAGCUCAGUAGGAUAGAGCAACUGCCUCCUAAGCAGUAGGUCGCCAGUUCGACUCUGGCCGGGAUCACCA
This 77-nucleotide transfer RNA is filed under the name Phascolarctobacterium sp. Its description in RNAcentral is "tRNA-Arg". It matches the Rfam family "tRNA". From Rfam's summary of the family: Transfer RNA (tRNA) molecules are approximately 80 nucleotides in length. Their secondary structure includes four short double-helical elements and three loops (D, anti-codon, and T loops). Further hydrogen bonds mediate the characteristic L-shaped molecular structure. tRNAs have two regions of fundamental functional importance: the anti-codon, which is responsible for specific mRNA codon recognition, and the 3' end, to which the tRNAs corresponding amino acid is attached (by aminoacyl-tRNA synthetases). tRNAs cope with the degeneracy of the genetic code in two manners: having more than one tRNA (with a specific anti-codon) for a particular amino acid; and 'wobble' base-pairing, i.e. permitting non-standard base-pairing at the 3rd anti-codon position. The record is from RNAcentral. Lineage: Bacteria; Bacillati; Bacillota; Negativicutes; Acidaminococcales; Acidaminococcaceae.